GAUCCUGGCUCAGGAUGAACGCUAGCUACAGGCUUAACACAUGCAAGUCGAGGGGCAUCAGUUUGGUUUGCUUGCAAACCAAAGCUGGCGACCGGCGCACGGGUGAGUAACACGUAUCCAACCUACCUCAUACUCGGGGAUAGCCUUUCGAAAGAAAGAUUAAUAUCCGAUAGCAUAUAUUUCCCGCAUGGGUUUUAUAUUAAAGAAAUUCGGUAUGAGAUGGGGACGCGUUCCAUUAGUUUGUUGGGGGGGUAACGG
RNAcentral lists this ribosomal RNA (258 nucleotides) under uncultured bacterium. RNAcentral's name for it is "partial 16S ribosomal RNA". It matches the Rfam family "Bacterial small subunit ribosomal RNA", at positions 15 to 263 of the family's 1533-position model. The record is from RNAcentral.